RNAcentral lists this ribosomal RNA (371 nucleotides) under uncultured Methylovorus sp. RNAcentral describes it as "bacterial SSU rRNA". It matches the Rfam family "Bacterial small subunit ribosomal RNA", at positions 527 to 896 of the family's 1533-position model. Lineage: Bacteria; Pseudomonadati; Pseudomonadota; Betaproteobacteria; Nitrosomonadales; Methylophilaceae. The record is from RNAcentral.
GUAGGGUGCGAGCGUUAAUCGGAAUUACUGGGCGUAAAGCGUGCGCAGGCGGUUUUGAAAGUCAGAUGUGAAAUCCCCGAGCUCAACUUGGGAACUGCGUUUGAAACUCCAAAGCUAGAGUAUAGGAGAGGGGGGUAGAAUUCCACGUGUAGCAGUGAAAUGCGUAGAGAUGUGGAGGAAUACCAAUGGCGAAGGCAGCCCCCUGGCCUAAUACUGACGCUCAUGCACGAAAGCGUGGGGAGCAAACAGGAUUAGAUACCCUGGUAGUCCACGCCCUAAACGAUGUCUACUAGUUGUUGGUGGAGUAAAAUCCAUUAGUAACGCAGCUAACGCGUGAAGUAGACCGCCUGGGGAGUACGGUCGCAAGAUUA